Molecule: long non-coding RNA, 596 nt
Filed under: Solanum lycopersicum (tomato)
Lineage: Eukaryota; Viridiplantae; Streptophyta; Magnoliopsida; Solanales; Solanaceae
Description: long non-coding RNA (SLYC_LNC001266)
Source: RNAcentral
GCUAUGUUAUCUUCUAUGUGAUCAAUACCUUCAGAUAUGGCUAAUCCACCCAGUGCACCUGCAACCGCACCCAUAGCUAGUCCCGCACCCAGGCCCAUCCCACCGAACUUGCUCUUCUUCUUCUCCUCGUAACCAUACCCUGCUUUCUGUGACCCGUAACUACCCUGAGGCUGCGCCCCGUAGCUUCCCUGCUGCCCGUAACUACCCUGCGAUCCAUAACUUCCCUGCUGAGGGUAACCAGGCUGUUGCCCGUAACUACCCUGCUGCCCGUACGGUGCAGGAGGAGCACCGUAACCUGGUUGUUGACCAUAACCCGGAGCAGGAGCUCCACCAUAACCUGGUUGUUGACCAUAACCGGAAGCUGGACCCGGUGCAGGAGCCGCGUUGUACGGGUAACCCGCUGGUGGAGCAGCAUAAGGCGAAGCACCAGGGGCAGGAGCACCGUAAGGGGAAGGAGCAGGGGCAGGAGCACCGUAUGAUCCGCCGUAAGGUUGCGGUGGAGCAGGGUAAUCCCUCGAUCCAGCUGGUGGAGGUACACCGUAAGGAGGUGCGUAAUACGGAUCCGGCGCACGAUAGCGCGGAUCACGAACAGCAAC